Molecule: RNA transcript, 2150 nt
Organism: Macrobrachium nipponense
Lineage: Eukaryota; Metazoa; Arthropoda; Malacostraca; Decapoda; Palaemonidae
Gene name: THO complex subunit 4-like
Exons: 5
Source: RefSeq, a predicted model, not a curated record
AUUGUGGGAACAACUACUCUCCUCCCGCCAUACUGCCGAACCGUCGAGUGAAGUGACAACGUCUUGGUUCCGAAACCUUGUUAGACAUGGCUUCAGGUGUUGAUAUGAGUUUGGAAGAUAUUAUAAAAACUAAGAAAAUUAGACCUGGAAACAGAAGAGGUGGUGGACGUGGAGGAGGACGAGGUGGUGCCCGAGGAGGACGUGUAAGGGGUCGCGGAGGUUCUCGUCCAGUCCAACGUGGAGGACGCGCCGCCGGUGGUCGGGGUGGUAAUCGAAUGUUCAAUGCUCCCAGGAGGCCAGUUGUACGAUCGGGACCAACCAAACUGCUCAUUGCUAAUUUAGAUUUUGGAGUGUCAGAUUCAGAUAUCCAUGAGCUCUUUGCGGAAUUUGGUAACAUGAGAAAUGCUGCUGUUCACUAUGACAGAUCUGGAAGAAGUUUAGGGACAGCUCAUGUAUCAUUUGAUCGAAAUGCAGAUGCCUUGAAGGCUUUGAGGCAAUAUAAUGGCAUUCAUCUUGAUGGGCGCCCCAUGAAAAUAAGUAUUGAAGGUGGCACUGGUGGUGGAAUCCGAAAUGGUGUUGGGCCUGUAAAGAGACUAGGCCAAGGACCUCGACCUGUUGGUAACAAAGGUGGUAGAGGCAGAAUUGGUCGUGGCGGCAGAGGUGCGUCCAGAGGUGGACGUGGAAGAGGGGGGGCUGGAGGGCGGGGUGGCAAGGCAAAGGUGCCAACAGCUGAAGAAUUGGAUGCAGAACUAGAUGCUUAUGUCAACCAGGUCAACAAGUGAGGUAAUUGGAAGCAGAGACUGGAAGCAUUCAACUACAGCUGGUUUUGUCUCGCAAGGCCUGCCAAGCUACCACCACCUGCUACGUCUCCUGCUGAGUUUUCUAAGUUUUGUCGGGCACUGUAGUAAGAUUGAUAACAAAUGAGCCUUUCUAAUAGAUUUGAGUUUACACAAUCCUGCCUUCUAUGUGCAGCCUGCAAAGUAAUUUUUUGUUUCUGUACAAGUUUGGGGACAGAGAAAUUUAAUAAAUAAAAGAUAAAGCUUUAAUUUUGAUGUAUUUGGUUCUGGGAAUAUUGAGUUUUACGAACAGCAAUCUAAUACCCUGAAAAUGAUUUUUUUUUUUUUUUUUUUUUUUUUCCUCCAUCGUGUGGAGAAUUCCACACACCAGCAAUGGUGUUUAAUGGUCGAAAGGCUAUUGUGAAAACAACCUGUUUAAUCAUUGAAAAGCAUGAUAUUGCAGCAUUGGCUCAUGCAGUGAACUGCCACCAUAAAUCUAAAUUAUUGUAGGUUGCUAAAGGUAAUACUGUAUUGAGUAAUGGAUGAAAUGUAUUAAAGUACAUUGUUACAUUGAAGAAUCAUCAUCAUAGAAUGGAGAGUCCCUUUGGUAUCCCCAGAUAACACAAUGCCAAUACAUCACUUACAAAAGUCAAGGCCUUUGAAGUUGAUUUCAGGCCAAUGUUUGUACUUAAAAUGCCUAAUAUGUUAAACAUGUACUUGCUAAGAAGGCUGAAGCCUGCACAUGUAGUUUGGUUACACAUAACCUUUGGUGUGUGCUGGAUUAGCAUGUUUGGUGUAACUAAACAAGGCUAUAUAAUAUAUAUGUAAUAUAUAUAUAUAUAUAUAUGAUAAUACUGGUAGUAUCCAGUUUUCUGUUGGGCUCCAGAAGUGCCAGCCUUUAACAUAGUGCCACAUACCAUUUAUUCGUAUUGGGGUGUCUGUGCUGAAUUUGGGAUCGUGGUGAGCCAGGUCUCAAAGGAGUUCUGCGACGGUUGUGUGGAGACUGGUGUGGUGGCUUCCAACAACUGGACCAUCUGUCCCGCCGAUCUGAACUCUCCUGCCAGCCAUUACUUGAAGUGAAAGAAUCUUUAUGGAGGAGACAAUUGCUUAUUAGUGGAGUGUGCAAGCAUAAGAAGUUGGUCUGUGCACGAGUCCACUUGACGGUUAUAGUAUUACAUUUUUUUUCUAUGUGAUCUUCAGAAAUUUAUGUUCCAGAAUUGAAUUGGAAAUGGCUUGCUUUAGUUUUGUCAUAAAAUGUUUAUAUUGUGUAUUGUACAAGUGUCUCACUACAUGAUGUAAUUAGUUUUUAGAAUCCUGAAGUACAAUUAAGUUACAGAAACUAAUUUUUCUCUGAUUAAAAUUAGUGUCAUUUUG